Telopea speciosissima is the source of this 102-nucleotide small nucleolar RNA. RefSeq annotates it as small nucleolar RNA snoR99. Lineage: Eukaryota; Viridiplantae; Streptophyta; Magnoliopsida; Proteales; Proteaceae. The record is from RefSeq and is a predicted model, not a curated record. The transcript has a single exon.
GUGCCUAAGAGUUGAACUGGUCCCUGAUAUGGAACCCCCAUCUACUCUGUCAGCUAUCUCCAUUAUUUCUGUUUUUUGCUGAUCAUUUAGGAUGGGACAUCU